This 81-nucleotide transfer RNA is filed under the name Cylindrobasidium torrendii FP15055 ss-10. RNAcentral describes it as "tRNA-Asn". It matches the Rfam family "tRNA". From Rfam's summary of the family: Transfer RNA (tRNA) molecules are approximately 80 nucleotides in length. Their secondary structure includes four short double-helical elements and three loops (D, anti-codon, and T loops). The record is from RNAcentral. Lineage: Eukaryota; Fungi; Basidiomycota; Agaricomycetes; Agaricales; Physalacriaceae.
GCCCGCCUAGCUCAAUCGGAUAGAGCGUCAGACUAUUCCUAGGCGAUCUGAAGGCUGCGAGUUCGACCCUCGCGGUGGGCU